CGCGUAGGCGGCCUUCUAAGUCGGACGUGAAAUCCCUCGGCUUAACCGAGGAACUGCGUCCGAUACUGAAAGGCUUGAAUCCGGGAGAGGGAUGUGGAAUUCCAGGUGUAGCGGUGAAAUGCGUAGAUAUCUGGAGGAACACCGGUGGCGAAGGCGGCAUCCUGGACCGGUAUUGACGCUGAGGCGCGAAAGCUAGGGGAAGCAAACG
Molecule: ribosomal RNA, 208 nt
Filed under: uncultured bacterium
Lineage: Bacteria
Description: partial 16S ribosomal RNA
Rfam family: Bacterial small subunit ribosomal RNA
Source: RNAcentral